UGCAACCCGCCUGUAUGAAGUUGGAAUCGCUAGUAAUCGCGGAUCAGCAUGCCGCGGUGAAUACGUUCCCGGGCCUUGUACACACCGCCCGUCACACCAUGAGAGUCGGGAACACCCGAAGUCCGUAGCCUAACCGCAAGGAGGGCGCGGCCGAAGGUGGGUUCGAUAAUUGGGGUGAAGUCGUAACAAGGUACC
Molecule: ribosomal RNA, 195 nt
Filed under: uncultured bacterium
Lineage: Bacteria
Description: partial 16S ribosomal RNA
Rfam family: Bacterial small subunit ribosomal RNA
Source: RNAcentral